This 301-nucleotide ribosomal RNA is filed under the name uncultured bacterium. RNAcentral's name for it is "partial 16S ribosomal RNA". It matches the Rfam family "Bacterial small subunit ribosomal RNA", at positions 509 to 807 of the family's 1533-position model. The record is from RNAcentral.
CAGCCGCCGCGGUAAUACGUAGGGUGCAAGCGUUAAUCGGAAUUACUGGGCGUAAAGCGUGCGCAGGCGGUUUGUUAAGACAGAUGUGAAAUCCCCGGGCUCAACCUGGGAACUGCAUUUGUGACUGGCAAGCUAGAGUGUGGCAGAGGGGGGUGGAAUUCCCGGUGUAGCGGUGAAAUGCGUAGAGAUCGGGAGGAACAUCAGUGGCGAAGGCGGCCAUCUGGGACAACACUGACGCUGAGGCACGAAAGCGUGGGGAGCAAACAGGAUUAGAUACCCCUGUAGUCCCUGUCUCUUAUAC